This 785-nucleotide ribosomal RNA is filed under the name uncultured bacterium. Its description in RNAcentral is "bacterial SSU rRNA". It matches the Rfam family "Bacterial small subunit ribosomal RNA", at positions 64 to 853 of the family's 1533-position model. The record is from RNAcentral.
GAGCGGGGACAAGAAGGAGCGUUGCUCCGAAUUGUUCUAGCGGCGGACGGGUGAGUAACGCGUGAGCAACCUGCCUCAAACAGGGGGAUAACGCAUCGAAAGAUGUGCUAAUACCGCGUAAGACCACAGCUUCACAUGGAGCGGGGGUCAAAGGAGAAAUCCGGUUUGAGAUGGGCUCGCGUCCGAUUAGCUAGUUGGUGAGAUAACAGCCCACCAAGGCGACGAUCGGUAGCCGACCUGAGAGGGUGAUCGGCCACAUUGGAACUGAGAAACGGUCCAGACUCCUACGGGAGGCAGCAGUGGGGAAUAUUGGGCAAUGGGCGAAAGCCUGACCCAGCAACGCCGCGUGAGGGAAGAAGGGUUUCGGCUCGUAAACCUCUGUCCUAUGGGACGAAGGAAGUGACGGUACCAUAGGAGGAGGCCCCGGCUAACUACGUGCCAGCAGCCGCGGUAAUACGUAGGGGGCGAGCGUUGUCCGGAAUGAUUGGGCGUAAAGGGCGCGUAGGCGGCCUGCUAAGUCUGGAGUGAAAGUCCUGCUUUCAAGGUGGGAAUUGCUUUGGAUACUGGGGGGCUGGAGUGCAGGAGAGGAAAGCGGAAUUACCGGUGUAGCGGUGAAAUGCGUAGAGAUCGGUAGGAACACCAGUGGCGAAGGCGGCUUUCUGGACUGUAACUGACGCUGAGGCGCGAAAGCGUGGGGAGCAAACAGGAUUAGAUACCCUGGUAGUCCACGCUGUAAACGAUGAAUGCUAGGUGUAGGAGGUAUCGACCCCUUCUGUGCCGCAGUC